AAGACCUUGCACUUUUGGAGCGGCCGAUGUCUGAUUAGCUAGUUGGUGGGGUAAUGGCCUACCAAAGCUUCGAUCAGUAGCUGGUCUGAGAGGACGGCCAGCCACACUGGGACUGAGACACGGCCCAGACUCCUACGGGAGGCAGCAGUGGGGAAUUUUGGACAAUGGGCGCAAGCCUGAUCCAGCCAUGCCGCGUGAGUGAAGAAGGCCUUCGGGUUGUAAAGCUCUUUCAGCCGGGAAGAAAAGGUUGCGACUAAUAAUCGCAAUUCAUGACGGUACCGAAAGAAGAAGCACCGGCUAACUACGUGCCAGCAGCCGCGGUAAUACGUAGGGUGCGAGCGUUAAUCGGAAUUACUAGGCGUAAAGGGUGCGCAGGCGGUUUUGUAAGUCAGAUGUGAAAUCCCCGGGCUUAACCUGGGAACU
RNAcentral lists this ribosomal RNA (423 nucleotides) under uncultured bacterium. RNAcentral's name for it is "bacterial SSU rRNA". It matches the Rfam family "Bacterial small subunit ribosomal RNA", at positions 207 to 622 of the family's 1533-position model. The record is from RNAcentral.